GAUGAACGCUGGCGGCGUGCCUAAUACAUGCAAGUCGAGCGAACAGACGAGGAGCUUGCUCCUUUGACGUUAGCGGCGGACGGGUGAGUAACACGUAGGUAACCUACCUAUAAGACUGGGAUAACUUCGGGAAACCGGAGCUAAUACCGGAUAAUAUUUCGAACCGCAUGGUUCGAUAGUGAAAGAUGGCUUUGCUAUCACUUAUAGAUGGACCUGCGCCGUAUUAGCUAGUUGGUAAGGUCACGGCUUACCAAGGCAACGAUACGUAGCCGACCUGAGAGGGUGGUCGGCCACACUGGAACUGAGACACGGUCCAGACUCCUACGGGAGGCAGCAGUAGGGAAUCUUCCGCAAGGGGCGAAAGCCUGACGGAGCAACGCCGCGUGAGUGAUGAAGGUCUUCGGAUCGUAAAACUCUGUUAUUAGGGAAGAACAAACGUGUAAGUAACUGUGCGCGUCUUGACGGUACCUAAUCAGAAAGCCACGGCUAACUACGUG
This 497-nucleotide ribosomal RNA is filed under the name uncultured bacterium. Its description in RNAcentral is "partial 16S ribosomal RNA". It matches the Rfam family "Bacterial small subunit ribosomal RNA", at positions 28 to 507 of the family's 1533-position model. The record is from RNAcentral.